AACAAGGUCUCCGUUGGUGAACCAGCGGAGGGAUCAUUACCGAGUUUACAACUCCCAAACCCCUGUGAACAUACCACUUGUUGCCUCGGCGGAUCAGCCCGCUCCCGGUAAAACGGGACGGCCCGCCAGAGGACCCCUAAACUCUGUUUCUAUAUGUAACUUCUGAGUAAAACCAUAAAUAAAUCAAAACUUUCAACAACGGAUCUCUUGGUUCUGGCAUUGAUGAAGAACGCAGCAAAAUGCGAUAAGUAAUGUGAAUUGCAGAAUUCAGUGAAUCAUCGAAUCUUUGAACGCACAUUGCGCCCGCCAGUAUUCUGGCGGGCAUGCCUGUUCGAGCGUCAUUUCAACCCUCAAGCACAGCUUGGUGUUGGGACUCGCGUUAAUUCGCGUUCCCCAAAUUGAUUGGCGGUCACGUCGAGCUUCCAUAGCGUAGUAGUAAAACCCUCGUUACUGGUAAUCGUCGCGGCCACGCCGUUAAACCCCAACUUCUGAAUGUUGACCUCGGAUCAGGUAGGAAUACCCGCUGAACUUAAGCAUAUCAACAAG
This 546-nucleotide ribosomal RNA is filed under the name uncultured fungus. RNAcentral describes it as "eukaryotic LSU rRNA". The stretch from base 188 to 341 matches the Rfam family "5.8S ribosomal RNA". Lineage: Eukaryota; Fungi. The record is from RNAcentral.